Molecule: unclassified non-coding RNA, 355 nt
Filed under: fungal sp.
Lineage: Eukaryota; Fungi
Description: partial internal transcribed spacer region
Rfam family: Eukaryotic small subunit ribosomal RNA (bases 1-46)
Source: RNAcentral
AAGUCGUAACAAGGUUUCCGUAGGUGAACCUGCGGAAGGAUCAUUAACACGUAUCCAACGUUAAACAACCCUGUGAACUUUCAGCCUGCUCUUGUAGCCCAUGAGGAACAGCAAUCCCGGUAAAUCAUUGCCGAACAGUUUUGAUUCGGGACCUCUGUCCAAAAGGGGUUGCAAUUGAGCGGUAGAGGCACCAAGUGGUCAGUGACUGGCUGUGUAAGGAUAACGCCUCACGGUUGCUAGAGGUCGAUCACCGACCGGCAGACAUGUCACAGGGUCACCACGCCCCUUAAUAACCUUAGUGGUAACGCGCUAGGGAAAAAAAACCGAACAACUGUUUCCAAUGGAUAUCUUGGUC